CUUGCAGUGUCUUCUCUCCAGCAACGUUGAGUUCCCAGCCCAACUUCAGCCAUGAAGAUUCUGUACCUGCUCUUUGCUGUCUUUUUCCUGGUGCUGCAAAGCUCUCCAGGAGCAGCCUUUGACUGGGCACAGGCACAGGAAGAUAAUUGGGUUGACUUGGCCUUGUCUCAGUGAAUUGCAAUUUCAACUAAUGGGAAAUGCCCGUCAUGCUGCAAUCACAGCCCUUGUUUACACUGAUAUGUGAAUGAAAAUGAAGACACUUUGUGCAGGAAUCACACAGGGCAUCAUUAGCCCCCGUGAUUGUCGUCGUGCUGGAGGCAUCUGCCGCCGUACAUGUCCGUCCAAUUACAGACGAAUCGGAAGUUGUGGUUUUGGGCUGAGUUGCUGUAAAAGGAGAAGGAGAGAGUGAGUGAUGGCAG
Non-coding RNA from Chrysemys picta bellii (western painted turtle), 419 nucleotides. The record is from RefSeq and is a predicted model, not a curated record. NCBI's taxonomy places the organism in Eukaryota, Metazoa, Chordata, Testudines, Emydidae.